RNAcentral lists this transfer RNA (77 nucleotides) under Pseudobdellovibrionaceae bacterium. Its description in RNAcentral is "Bdellovibrionaceae bacterium (activated sludge metagenome) tRNA-Arg". It matches the Rfam family "tRNA". Rfam says of the family: Transfer RNA (tRNA) molecules are approximately 80 nucleotides in length. Their secondary structure includes four short double-helical elements and three loops (D, anti-codon, and T loops). The record is from RNAcentral. Lineage: Bacteria; Pseudomonadati; Bdellovibrionota; Bdellovibrionia; Bdellovibrionales; Pseudobdellovibrionaceae.
GCGCUCGUAGCUCAGUUGGAUAGAGUGUUGCCCUCCGAAGGCAAAGGUCGCAGGUUCGACUCCUGCCGGGCGCACCA